RNAcentral lists this microRNA precursor (64 nucleotides) under Canis lupus familiaris (dog). Its description in RNAcentral is "Cfa-Novel-23_pre stem-loop". The record is from RNAcentral. Lineage: Eukaryota; Metazoa; Chordata; Mammalia; Carnivora; Canidae.
UGUUCCAAGCAGCUGUCUGCUUCCAGAGUCCUACAGCCCCGAACCAGCAGAGGCUUGGAGCAGG